This 28-nucleotide non-coding RNA is filed under the name Rattus norvegicus (Norway rat). The record is from RNAcentral. Lineage: Eukaryota; Metazoa; Chordata; Mammalia; Rodentia; Muridae.
UCACCCUGCUGUGUAGAGUGUCUGAGAC